UACCAGCACCCCGAGUGGUCGGGACGAUUAUUGGGCCUAAAGCAUCCGUAGCCGGUUUUACAAGUCCUCCGUUAAAUCCAGCUGCUUAACAGAUGGGCUGCGGAGGAUACUAUAAGACUAGGAGGCAGGAGAGGCAAGCGGUACUCAGUGGGUAGGGGUAAAAUCCGUUGAUCCAUUGAAGACCACCAGUGGCGAAGGCGGCUUCCUGGACCGACACUGACGCUGAGGCGCGAAAGCUAGGGGAGCAAACGGG
Molecule: ribosomal RNA, 253 nt
Filed under: uncultured bacterium
Lineage: Bacteria
Description: partial 16S ribosomal RNA
Rfam family: Archaeal small subunit ribosomal RNA
Source: RNAcentral